AAGCGGUGGAGUAUGUGGUUAAUUCGAUGCAACGCGAAGAACCUUACCUGGUCUUGACAUCCCGGAGACCCUUAGGAAACUAGGGGUGCUUCCAUCUGGAAGAAUCUGGAGACAGGUGCUGCAUGGCUGUCGUCAGCUCGUGUCGUGAGAUGUUGGGUUAAGUCCCGCAACGAGCGCAACCCUUGCCUUUAGUUGCCAGCAGUUCGGCUGGGCACUCUAAAGGGACUGCCGGUGUUAAACCGGAGGAAGGUGGGGAUGACGUCAAGUCCUCAUGGCCUUUAUGACCAGGGCUACGACACGUACUACAAUGGCCGAUACAAAGGGCAGCGACACUGCGAGGUGAAGCCAAUCCCGUAAAAUACGGUCUCAGUCCGGAUUGGAGUCUGCAACUCGACUCCAUGAAGUUGGAAUCGCUAGUAAUCGUGGAUCAGCAUGCCACGGUGAAUACGUUCCCGGGCCUU
Molecule: ribosomal RNA, 461 nt
Filed under: uncultured Desulfobulbus sp.
Lineage: Bacteria; Pseudomonadati; Thermodesulfobacteriota; Desulfobulbia; Desulfobulbales; Desulfobulbaceae
Description: bacterial SSU rRNA
Rfam family: Bacterial small subunit ribosomal RNA
Source: RNAcentral